CUGGGGGUAUAGCCAAGAUGGCAGAGUAAUCCUCAGCAGCUCUAUACCAACAUGAGAAUCUUUCCCAACCAAAAUUAAAAUAUUGCCACAAAAUUAAUAUAGGAGUGAAAGAACCAACAAGAAGGCAGAGUGAAACAACUUUCAAGAAAAAAAAAACAAAGAUCUCCAAGCACUUACAAGGGAAAGAUUGCAUUACUACGAAUGAAUGUGAAACAGAGUUGCCUAAAGCAUUUCAACAGAAUUAGAAGUUGAAGACAUGUUCAUGAACUGAGCAAGUGCUGCAAUGGAGUUGGGAUGAUAAUUGCCAGACAAGAGCCAAAAAGUGGACAAGGUGAAGAAGACAGUUUGAUGCUAGGCAUUGUCAAGGUUAUAGCUUAGCUCCUCCUAGGAAUUGUCUCUGGAAACUGAGAGUGAAGAAUAAAGGAGCAAUAAGGAGCA
Molecule: long non-coding RNA, 438 nt
Filed under: Monodelphis domestica (gray short-tailed opossum)
Lineage: Eukaryota; Metazoa; Chordata; Mammalia; Didelphimorphia; Didelphidae
Description: lncRNA (ENSMODG00000034546.2)
Source: RNAcentral